RNAcentral lists this ribosomal RNA (415 nucleotides) under uncultured microorganism. RNAcentral describes it as "bacterial SSU rRNA". It matches the Rfam family "Archaeal small subunit ribosomal RNA", at positions 330 to 745 of the family's 1478-position model. The record is from RNAcentral.
GUGCAGCAGGCGCGAAAACUUCACAAUGUGCGAAAGCACGAUGAGGGAAUCCCAAGUGCUUGCACGUAAGUGUAAGCUGUUUCUCUGUCUAAAACGCAGAGAGAGUAAGGGCUGGGUAAGACGGGUGCCAGCCGCCGCGGUAAUACCUGCAGCUCGAGUGGUGACCGUUAUUAUUGGGCCUAAAACGUCCGUAGCCGGUUUAAUAAAUGCCUGGGUAAAUCGGACCGCUUAACGGUUCGAAUUCCGGGUAGACUGUUAAACUUGAGACCGGGAGAAGUUAGAGGUACUCCUGGGGUAGAGGUGAAAUUCUGUAAUCCUAGGGGGACCACCAGUGGCGAAGGCGUCUAACUAGAACGGGUCUGACGGUGAGGGACGAAGCCCUGGGGCGCAAACGGGGAUUAGAUACCCGCGUAGU